CUGAGUGAAGGGGCUCAGGACGUGGGGCAGGUGGGCCAGCCCUGCCAAGCCCUGGGGGGUCCGGGGCUUUGUAGGGUAAGAGCUCUGUGGAGCAGGGCCUCAGUGUGGAUUUUACCCUGUGACCUCCCUCUCCUAGAGGAUCUCCCUUGUCUUCCCCAGCCAAUGUCUGUGGGCAGGUUGGAUGCCACCCAGCCUGCAGUGAGCUCUGACGCUGGCCCUGGUGCUGGCCAGGUAGCCAUGGUUAGAACGCCCACAGCGAAGGUCCAAGGGUUCCAGGGGUCGUGCGUCUCAAGGCAGGGGCCAGAGCCUGUCUCCCUCCCUCUCAAAACGUACGCAUCUUUGUGUUGUUUGAAAUAAGUUGGAAACAUCUGAUUCUGUGUCCCAAAUGAUAUUCCUCCCAAGGUGACUGUUUCCACCCUGGCAUGAGUGCACCCCACCCCUGCUCAGCCCCCUUCCUGCUGAGGUGUUCGAGGUGUUCGCUUUGGCGUUGUUUGCCCCCCUGACUAGGGAUCCUGAAAAGAUAAGCCUCUCCUCUGGGGCCCUGUGUUCAGCAGAAGGUGGUGGCCACACUUGGGAAAUGGAGAUGUUCUUCUGUCCUUCCUGUCUAUUGAGAAACUUAGUGUUGUGUUUUUCUAGCAAUGUCAAAGAUAGGUAAGAUGUUUUUCUUCUAAAUUUGGUGUGUCAUGCAGGCUGAAUAUCAAUCAUCUGAAAUGCUUGGGGCCUGAGAUGUGUUACAGAUGUUAGGCUUUUUUUUUGGGGGGGGGGAUAUUUGUAAAAGUUGAAUACCCCUAAUCUGAAAAUCCAAAAUCCUAAAAUCUAAAGUCCAAAACUUUUUGAGGGUCACAUAGGUACUUAAAGUUUAAAGUUUUGGAUUUCAGAUUUUUUGGAUUAGGGAUGCUCAACUGCAAAGCAGUGCCAUUGUUACUGGAUCAUUGCAUUUCUCUAUCCAUUCAUCCAUCUGUCCACCCACUUAUCUAUCCAUUAGUCUAUCCUUUCACCCUACUAUCCACCCAUCCAUCCAUUUCCCCAUCCAUCCAUCCACCUACUUAUACAUCCAUCCAUCCAUUUCCCCAUCCAUCUUUCUACCCAUUUCCCCAUCCAUCCAUCCAUUUCCCCGUCCAUCAAUCCACCCACCUAUCCAUCUAUCCAUCCAUACAUACAUACAUACGUCCCCCAGCCACCCACCUAUACAUCCAUCUAUCCGUUUCCCCAUACAUCCAUGCAUCUGUCCCCCCACCCAUCCACCCACCUAUAUAUCCACCUAUCCAUUGCCCCAUCCAUCCAUCCAUCCAACCCCCAUCCAUCCAACCACCUAUCCAUCCAUACAUACAUACAUACAUCCCCCAACCACCCACCUAUACAUCCAUCCAUCCAUUUCCCUGUCCAUCCCCACCCACCCGUCCAUCCACCCACUUCCCCGUCCAUCCACUCAGGACAAGUAUCCAUCAAGUGCCUCAUACAUGCCAGGUAAUGCCAAUGCUAAAAUCAAGGGUAUUGGCAUCAGCAUUAAAACUGUAUGUUCCAUGGAGGAAAAUCCAUUGUGAACAACUAACUGUCCAUGUAACUGUCCUACCAUAAACUAUCAGGGGGGACAAACCCUGCAAACUCUAAGUCUGUUAUGGUGGUGACAUGUAUGAGAAGAGGUCCCCAGAGUCUGGCCACAAAGAAGCCCCUGCUGAUGCUCACAGAAAACACACCUAGCCCACAGGGAAAGCUUUGAAGGAAAUGGAGUGUAGGCUGCCCAGAGUGGAGCAGAGGCCAGGCGUCCAGUCACUGCCUAUGGGACGGGGUGUGAAGACGGCAGGUGCAGACUGUCAAAGGGCCAUGCUCAGGCAGGAGUGGGGUGGCUGGAGUAGGGUGGGCAGCCAGCUUGGGACAGCUGAAAGCUGCCACCUCGGUCCACAGAGGCCACAGCAUGGAGUUUGGGCAGUAGCUGAGGACAGCCUCCCACAUUCUGCGGCUUCCCCCUGCGAGGUUCAGGCUGUAACCAACCCGAUGGCCUGACUUCUGGACUUUUGCUUAUCUCUGCACUGUCCACUUUUAGCAAGAGCUCUGCUUCAGCACCCUCGCUAUCUGAUGGGUUCCUCACCCCACCACCCCCAAAUGAUGUCUGGUCACUGGCCUGCCUGCAGCAAGAAUCCUGGGUCCAGCCAGAGCCCCUGUCUGCUCCUGGCCACGUCCCAGUCAUGGAUCCCGCUUUCCACUUGCUCAUGCUGUGUCUGGAGGGGAGCCCGGUUCUGUACCAAGACUUCUUUCUCCCCAUUGAAAUUGCCCUGAAUAAAAUCUGAUUUUGCUGC
RNAcentral lists this long non-coding RNA (2297 nucleotides) under Marmota monax (woodchuck). The record is from RNAcentral. Lineage: Eukaryota; Metazoa; Chordata; Mammalia; Rodentia; Sciuridae.